Molecule: ribosomal RNA, 484 nt
Filed under: uncultured bacterium
Lineage: Bacteria
Description: partial 16S ribosomal RNA
Rfam family: Bacterial small subunit ribosomal RNA
Source: RNAcentral
AUUGAACGCUGGCGGCAGGCCUAACACAUGCAAGUCGAGCGGAUGAAGGGAGCUUGCUCCUGGAUUCAGCGGCGGACGGGUGAGUAAUGCCUAGGAAUCUGCCUGGUAGUGGGGGAUAACGUCCGGAAACGGGCGCUAAUACCGCAUACGUCCUGAGGGAGAAAGUGGGGGAUCUUCGGACCUCACGCUAUCAGAUGAGCCUAGGUCGGAUUAGCUAGUUGGUGGGGUAAAGGCCUACCAAGGCGACGAUCCGUAACUGGUCUGAGAGGAUGAUCAGUCACACUGGAACUGAGACACGGUCUAGACUCCUACGGGAGGCAGCAGUGGGGAAUAUUGGACAAUGGGCGAAAGCCUGAUCCAGCCAUGCCGCGUGUGCGAAGAAGGUCUUCGGAUUGUAAAGCACUUUAAGUUGGGAGGAAGGGCAGUAAGUUAAUACCUUGCUGUUUUGACGUUACCAACAGAAUAAGCACCGGCUAACUUCGUG